Long non-coding RNA from Nicotiana tabacum (common tobacco), 627 nucleotides. RefSeq lists it as uncharacterized. NCBI's taxonomy places the organism in Eukaryota, Viridiplantae, Streptophyta, Magnoliopsida, Solanales, Solanaceae. The record is from RefSeq and is a predicted model, not a curated record.
CACAAAAUUUCUGAAAACACAUAUCAGAUUUUGCAGAACCUAAAAGAAUACUCAAAAAAUUCUUCUCUUUUAAAAUUUUGGGCUCUUUGGUUGCAAGAUGAUUUGAGUUGGAGUGCUAUGAUACUGCUAUUUAUUUGGCUGCUUAGUUUCAUUGGUUUCUGCUGCCUGUUUUUGCUGCUAUUAAGCUUACAAAAGCUUGGUUUUCUGACCUUUAUUUGGUCAUUUCUCUGCUGUAUUUUUCAGUUACAAGGGUGUUGUUGUUGGUCACAUGGCUAUAUUCUGCAGAUUUGGCCGCCAGUUGGCCAAAUCAGCAAGAUGUAGGCCAAAGAGUGGGAUUCUGUUGCUGAUAGCAUGCUGGAAAUGAUGGUUUCUUAUGGUGAAUCAAGCUUUUGAUGGAUAAAUCAUAUCCAAAAGGGGCAAGUAUUCACUAGCUAUCAAUUGCGUGGAAAUUGUAAUAGAAUAGUUGAUAUUUUUCUCUUGUAUGAUCAAUUUCUGGUGUAGUAGAUCAAGAGUAAUUCUCACAUUGUUUCUUUUUUUUUAAAAGAUAUUCUGUAAUAGCUGCCAGUUUAGUGUCAAGAUGCUAUAAACGUAACAUGAAUUUUUGAAAAUCAGUUGAGCUUAUGCGAA